RNAcentral lists this long non-coding RNA (546 nucleotides) under Androctonus crassicauda. The record is from RNAcentral. Lineage: Eukaryota; Metazoa; Arthropoda; Arachnida; Scorpiones; Buthidae.
UUAACUUUUUAUUAUAAUAAUAAUAAAAAACAAAAUUUAGAAUUAAGAGCUAAUUAAUUUAUUUUGUGAUAAAGAUUGUAUAUUCUAAAUUAGAACCUCAUUUUUUCCAUUGUAAUUUAUUUUUCUGAUAUAUUGCAUUUAGAAGAAUUAUACAUCAACCCAAGAUGUGUGUGUGUGUAUGUUAAUUAAACAAAACACCUCAAACAGAAUUGUUUGUACAUAUAAAUUUGUACAUUCUGGGUUGUGUGAGAUUUGUACAUUCAAUGUAUGCAGGUGGGUGUGUAUGUAUACGACAAUAGUAAAAUAUCUUUCACCAAUUUUGACUUGUUUCAUUCUUUCUGUUAUAUACAUUUAUAUCACAAAACAAAUUCAGUUUUAUAUGUCAGUGUAAUUUAUGGUUUUGUAUAUUAUUAUUUUUAUAUACGGAAUGUCCCAAAUAUUACUAUUUAUCUUGAAAACUACUGGGAAUACAGGAAAAUAGGAUUAAGACAACAAAAUAGCUUUAUUUCAAAGUAAGUGCCAUCCAAGAGUAGAAAUAUUCAGUGA